GCACAACGCGAAGAACCUUACCAAGGCUUGACAUGUAGAAGAACACCGCAGAGAUGCGGGACUCUUUGGACACUUCUAUACAGGUGGUGCAUGGUUGUCGUCAGCUCGUGUCGUGAGAUGUUCGGUUAAGUCCGGCAACGAGCGCAACCCUCGUCCUAUGUUGCCAGCACGUUAUGGUGGGAACUCAUGGGAUACUGCCGUGGUCAACACGGAGGAAGGUGGGAUGACGUCAAAUCAUCAUGCCCCUUAUGUCUUGAGCUUCACGCAUGCUACAAUGGCCGGUACAAAGGGCUGCGAUACCGUAAGGUGGAGCGAAUCCCAAAAAGCCGGUCUCAGUUCGGAUUGGGGUCUGCAACUCGACCCCAUGAAGUCGGAGUCGCUAGUAAUCGCAGAUCAGCAACGCUGCGGUGAAUACGUUCCCGGGUCUUGU
RNAcentral lists this ribosomal RNA (430 nucleotides) under uncultured bacterium. Its description in RNAcentral is "bacterial SSU rRNA". It matches the Rfam family "Bacterial small subunit ribosomal RNA", at positions 954 to 1384 of the family's 1533-position model. The record is from RNAcentral.